RNAcentral lists this long non-coding RNA (634 nucleotides) under Sorghum bicolor (sorghum). RNAcentral's name for it is "long non-coding RNA (SBIC_LNC006533)". The record is from RNAcentral. Lineage: Eukaryota; Viridiplantae; Streptophyta; Magnoliopsida; Poales; Poaceae.
UCAACCCUAAUUAUGAGGAUCUAAAUAAUCACUAUUUAAUUAUUUUGGAAUUAUUAUUUAAGUGCUAAAUAAGGGUUUAUUAAUAUUUUAAACAAACAUUAUCCAAAUGCCACCAAAUUUUGUGUGGAGCCAGGGAAUAAUAUUCAGAGGCUCCCCACAAUUUUUGGUGAUUUUUGGACAUACAAUUAAAUUAUUAAAAAUCAUACAAGUUUUAUUUGCUAAUUAAAAGGGCCAAUUUUUAUAUCCUUGCAAACUAUUAGAAAGCAGAACCUAGUAUUUUUCUUGGAUCCUACAUAUUUCAGAGAGUUUAUACAAAAAUUCUCAUUAUUUUUGGAUCAGCACAGAAUUCACCAUUCAAAUUCAAACAUUAAGCACUUUUAAACAAAAAGAAAAAAAAGAAAAGGGCACUGUGCCACGCUGGCGGCCCGCUGGGAUCCGGCCCAAGUCGGCCCGAGAGUGCUCUCCCGCGUGGACCGCGCGCGCGCUCUCUCUCACGCGGCUACUGACGGGCGGGACCCGCCCGUCAGAGGCGUCUUCAACCUCCCACCACCGCUCCGGUGAGCUCCGGCUCCGCGCCGGUGAGCUCCCGGCCUGCGCGGCGGGGUGGGUUAGCAUCUCCGGCGUCUCACGCAAC